GAUACGCGAGGAACCUUACCUGGGCUCAAAUGUAUGUUUGACGUAUUCUGAAAGGGAUACUUCUUCGGACAAUAUACAAGGUGCUGCAUGGUGUCGUCAGCUCGUGCCGUGAGGUGUCGGGUUAAGUCCCAUAACGAGCGCAACCCUAUCAUUAGUUGCCAUCAGGUCAAGCUGGGGACUCUAAUGAAACUGCCUACGCAAGUAGUGAGGAAGGUGGGGAUGACGUCAAAUCAGCACGGCCCUUACGUCCAGGGCUACACACGUGCUACAAUGGCCGGUACAAAGGGCAGCUACCUGGUGACAGGAUGCUAAUCUCAAAAGCCGGUCUCAGUUCGGAUCGGAGUCUGCAACCCGACUCCGUGAAGUUGGAAUCGCUAGUAAUCGCGCAUCAGCCAUGGCGCGGUGAAUACGUUCCCGGGCCUU
RNAcentral lists this ribosomal RNA (423 nucleotides) under uncultured Sphingobacteriales bacterium. RNAcentral's name for it is "bacterial SSU rRNA". It matches the Rfam family "Bacterial small subunit ribosomal RNA", at positions 956 to 1382 of the family's 1533-position model. Lineage: Bacteria; Pseudomonadati; Bacteroidota; Sphingobacteriia; Sphingobacteriales. The record is from RNAcentral.